RNAcentral lists this ribosomal RNA (502 nucleotides) under uncultured bacterium. RNAcentral describes it as "partial 16S ribosomal RNA". It matches the Rfam family "Bacterial small subunit ribosomal RNA", at positions 355 to 874 of the family's 1533-position model. The record is from RNAcentral.
UGGGGAAUAUUGGACAAUGGGCGCAAGCCUGGUCCAGCCAUGCCGCGUGAGUGAUGAAGGCCUUAGGGUUGUAAAGCUCUUUCGACGGGGACGAUAAUGACGGUACCCGUAGAAGAAGCCCCGGCUAACUUCGUGCCAGCAGCCGCGGUAAUACGAAGGGGGCUAGCGUUGCUCGGAAUCACUGGGCGUAAAGGGCGCGUAGGCGGACGUUUAAGUCAGAGGUGAAAGCCCAGGGCUCAACCCUGGAAUGGCCUUUGAUACUGGACGUCUUGAGUCUGGUAGAGGUUGGUGGAACUGCGAGUGUAGAGGUGAAAUUCGUAGAUAUUCGCAAGAACACCGGUGGCGAAGGCGGCCAACUGGACCAGAACUGACGCUGAGGCGCGAAAGCGUGGGGAGCAAACAGGAUUAGAUACCCUGGUAGUCCACGCCGUAAAACGAUGGAUGCUAGCCGUUGGCCGGUUUACCGGUCAGUGGCGCAGCUAACGCGUUAAGCAUCCCGCCU